RNAcentral lists this ribosomal RNA (204 nucleotides) under uncultured bacterium. RNAcentral describes it as "partial 16S ribosomal RNA". It matches the Rfam family "Bacterial small subunit ribosomal RNA", at positions 524 to 726 of the family's 1533-position model. The record is from RNAcentral.
UACGUAGGCAGCAAGCGUUGUUCGGAGUUACUGGGCGUAAAGGGUGCGUAGGUGGCUCUAUAAGUAUGGUGUGAAAUCUCCCGGCUUAACUGGGAGGGUGCGCCGUAGACUGUGGGGCUAGAGUGUGGGAGAGGAAAGUGGAAUUCCUGGUGUAGCGGUGAAAUGCGUAGAUAUCAGGAGGAACACCGGUGGUGUAAAACGGCU